This is a small nucleolar RNA of Tachyglossus aculeatus (Australian echidna), 138 nucleotides long. The record is from RefSeq and is a predicted model, not a curated record. Lineage: Eukaryota; Metazoa; Chordata; Mammalia; Monotremata; Tachyglossidae.
CCCCUGUCAGGAUCGCACCUGGAAAGUUUCCAGUACUCUACUAGUCUCGGCUGCAGGAGGGAAAGUCAAGCAGAGGCCUACCCAUUCCAUUCUUAGCUUGGCCAGUGGAUAGUGAAUGGAAAGCAAUCUGCUACAAGU